AACCUGUCAAUUUAUUAAAAUAAGCAAUAGUUUUAAAUCUAGUGCUACAGGAGAAGAAUUUAAAAUGAAAUUAUAUAUAAACUGUAACACAAGUAAUGUGAUUUAUUUACCGCCUGCAGCAGCUCAAGUGUAUGAUAUGGGGGU
Molecule: long non-coding RNA, 144 nt
Organism: Bufo bufo (common toad)
Lineage: Eukaryota; Metazoa; Chordata; Amphibia; Anura; Bufonidae
Exons: 3
Source: RefSeq, a predicted model, not a curated record